Molecule: ribosomal RNA, 664 nt
Filed under: Mastiger sp. 1 JP-2014
Lineage: Eukaryota; Metazoa; Arthropoda; Insecta; Coleoptera; Staphylinidae
Also listed under: 1 other name
Description: eukaryotic LSU rRNA
Rfam family: Eukaryotic large subunit ribosomal RNA
Source: RNAcentral
GGACCAAGGAGUCCAGCGAACGAGCGUGACGCAAAGGUUCAUUUAAUAGAAUCCGUCAAACUUAACGAAAGCAAUCGAGAGUCGUCUAGGCGGCUCAAGUUUGUAUGAUGAGACGUUUUGAUAUUUUAUCAGCGUCUAGGCAAAUCGGAGAUGGCAAUUAUGCGUCAGCAAUGGCGCUGCCGUACUCGUAGCUCGUGCUCUGGAACCCGAAAGAUGGUGAACUAUGCAUGGAAAGGAUGAAGCCAGGGGAAACUCUGGUGGAGGUCCGCAAUGGUUCUGACGUGCAAAUCGAUCAUCAGAACUAUGUAUAGGGGCGAAAGACCAAUCGAACCAUCUAGUAGCUGGUUCCUUUCGAAGUUUCCCUAAGGAUAGCUGAGGUCUAGUAAAGAUAGUCACAUGCGGUAAAGCGAAUGAUUAGAGUCGUUGGGUUCGAAACGUUCUCAACCUAUUCUCAAACUGUUAAUGUGUGUGUUUUCCAUUAGCUAGCGUGCUACGUAGCAAGUGGAUAGAUAGUAAAGGCCUUCAGUGGGCCAUUUUUGGUAAGCAGAACUGGCGAUGCGGGAUGAACCGGUCGUAAAGUUAUAGUGCCAAAAUCAACGCAUAUCGGACCCCACAAAAGGCGUUAGUAACUAAAGACAGCAGGACGGUGGCCAUGGAAGUCGGC